RNAcentral lists this ribosomal RNA (253 nucleotides) under uncultured bacterium. RNAcentral's name for it is "partial 16S ribosomal RNA". It matches the Rfam family "Bacterial small subunit ribosomal RNA", at positions 524 to 776 of the family's 1533-position model. The record is from RNAcentral.
UACGUAGGGUGCGAGCGUUGUCCGGAAUCAUUGGGCGUAAAGGGCUCGUAGGCGGUUUGUCGCGUCGGGAGUGAAAACACUGGGCUUAACUCAGUGCUUGCUUCCGAUACGGGCAGACUAGAGGUAUUCAGGGGAGAACGGAAUUCCUGGUGUAGCGGUGAAAUGCGCAGAUAUCAGGAGGAACACCGGUGGCGAAGGCGGUUCUCUGGGCAUUACCUGACGCUGAGGAGCGAAAGUGUGGGGAGCGAACAGG